UAAGGGGGGUGAAGUCGUAACAAGGUAGCCGUACCGGAAGGUGCGGCUGGAUCACCUCCUUUCUA
This 65-nucleotide ribosomal RNA is filed under the name Oceanispirochaeta sp. M1. Its description in RNAcentral is "partial 16S ribosomal RNA". It matches the Rfam family "Bacterial small subunit ribosomal RNA", at positions 1472 to 1533 of the family's 1533-position model. Lineage: Bacteria; Pseudomonadati; Spirochaetota; Spirochaetia; Spirochaetales; Spirochaetaceae. The record is from RNAcentral.